UAGUCCACGCCGUAAACGAUGUCUACUUGGAGGUUGUGGCCUUGAGCCGUGGCUUUCGGAGCUAACGCGUUAAGUAGACCGCCUGGGGAGUACGGUCGCAAGAUUAAAACUCAAAUGAAUUGACGGGGGCCCGCACAAGCGGUGGAGCAUGUGGUUUAAUUCGAUGCAACGCGAAGACCUUACCUAGGCUCUAAUGUGAGCGCAAUCUGCUGAAAGGCGGAGUUCCUUCGGGACGCGAAACAAGGUGCUGCAUGGUUGUCGUCAGCUCGUGCCGUGAGGUGUUGGGUUAAGUCCCGCAACGAGCGCAACCCCUAUCUUUAGUUGCCAGCACGUAAUGGUGGGGACUCUAGAGAGACUGCCGGCGUAAGCCGCGAGGAAGGUGGGGACGACGUCAAAUCAUCAU
This 403-nucleotide ribosomal RNA is filed under the name uncultured bacterium. RNAcentral describes it as "bacterial SSU rRNA". It matches the Rfam family "Bacterial small subunit ribosomal RNA", at positions 791 to 1196 of the family's 1533-position model. The record is from RNAcentral.